CCGGCUGGCCUGGUCCUCGCGCGCCCGCUGCAGCUCCGCGGCCCGACAGUAGAGGCCUCCCUUCCGAGGAGGCGGCGCAGGCUGAGCUCGGCUACCCGGCGAGGUCCCCGCACGGCCGGCCGGGCGCGGUGUUCCCGGGCCGCUGUCUCCCGCUGCAAGCGCGGCGGCGCCGGGUGUCGGAGGUUUCUAAUGUGAGGAAAAACAUGGAAUGACAAGUGUGGGGAAGAGCAAGCACUAAAUUACUGUCAGAAAAGUAAACGGAGCAGCACAGUGGUGCUCGGUGAUUUACAGGGGCAAUUAGUCCCCACCCCAGAGUGCUGCGGAGGAGAGCAUGGCAGCAGACCUCUCAGGCCCACGAGGAGGAAGAGGCGUUGCGAUACUCUGCAGACAACGUUUUGAACGAGAGAGGAUCAUGCUGGUCAUUCCAGGGCCUCUUCUGUGGCAGGCACAUUCUCAUCUGUGAGUGACACCCUUGACUUCCCAGUAGUCACACUCUGAGGUGACUUCACAGAGAAUGGUUGCAGCCAAUCAUUGAGGGAAGGCAAGAACUCAAGGCAGGAACCUGGAGGCAGGAACUGAAGCAGAGACCACACAGAGGAAGCUGAGAUGACAAUGGCUUCAUGAAGGGAGUCAUUAAUAAAUGAAGAGCCAAGCCAGCAUGGUAGAUAUACGAAGAACGUGAAGCAUUCUAGCCUACAAAGAAUGACGGUGGCUUUUCUGGACUCUGAAAAUCACUGCUAAUAGAUACAAAUUUUUCACACUACAAAUCAGUUUCCAAAUUACUGUAAAGUCACUAGCUAGUGGCUUAAAUAGUUGCCAUUGAAAAUAUAUUUAGGGUGUGUUGUCCAGGCUGAAAAUAAAAGAUAAUCAAGAUUUAGUCUGAAGGAAAAAGAAUAAAUGUAUAUAGCACACCUAUUACAUGCCAAGGACUUUGUAUUUGUGAUCUCACUUAAUUUUCACAACAGUUAAUGAGUGAUUUACACCCACUUCUUGGACAUGGAAGUAACGGAGCCCCAGAGAGGAUGUGCAAGGAUACGUCACGAAGACAGAGUGGCUGGCACGCAGAGACAAUCUUGUUUGCACACAGCUCCUUACAGUGGUAACACCCGUCUUGGCUGUGCUGCAUCACAGAGCCUCUGGAGCUGCCUGUCAGGUGUGUGUAAGGAAUUAUGGUCGUAUCCUUCCUGCCUCACUGUGGACACUUGUGGGCUCAACAUUGCUGUCUAACUGAAGGGCACAAAUGGACAUGGCUUCUUUGAAGUCUAUGCUCUUAAAGUUCUUCUGUGGGAACAGCUCCGCUUCCAUGUGGGGGCAUGUCUCUACAGGACAGGAAGGGUUAAGCUAACAGUCGGUAAAAUUUAGGAACUUGUAAUUUACAGUUUUGAUGGUGUGUGUGUGCCAACUGUUGGAAAUCAGAAUGGUGAUUACAUGGGGUAGAGGAGUGACUUCGCACGGGCACCAGGUGACUUGUGGGGUCUUCUGCUCGAUGCAGACACUGGUUAUGUGAGCAUGCUCACUUAGUAGGAAUUGACUAAGUUUGUAAAUUUACAAUUCGGACAGUUUUCUGUGCAUGCAUAUCAUACUUCAGUGAUGUUUACCAAAAGAAAGAAACAAUGUUUUGUUUAGGAGAGUCCUACUUGUUCUUUCUGUAGUGAUGCUGUUUGUUUUGAAAUUUGGAGACUGUAAGCAGGGAAGUCCGUGUGGACUUUGUUGGGUUAGCAUGUGCACUUAUGUAAGCAUGUGCACUAAUGUAAGCAUGUGCACUAAUGUAAGCAUGUGUACUAAUGUAAGCAUGUGCACUUAUGUAAGCAUGUGCACUAAUGUAAGCAUAUGCACUAAUGUAAGCAUAUGCACUUAUGUAAGCAUGCAUGGCUACAUCUUGGAUAGGGAGAAAUAUUUAAUUCUUUUAUUGUCGCUUUUUUCUUUUC
Molecule: long non-coding RNA, 1928 nt
Organism: Onychomys torridus (southern grasshopper mouse)
Lineage: Eukaryota; Metazoa; Chordata; Mammalia; Rodentia; Cricetidae
Exons: 5
Source: RefSeq, a predicted model, not a curated record